Molecule: long non-coding RNA, 209 nt
Filed under: Nicotiana benthamiana
Lineage: Eukaryota; Viridiplantae; Streptophyta; Magnoliopsida; Solanales; Solanaceae
Description: long non-coding RNA (NBEN_LNC033680)
Source: RNAcentral
CAUUACAUAUUCUGUCUGAGAAGAUCUGAGUCAUCAUGCUAAGGGAUCAUCGAAUAUUUUUUGGUGAAGAUUGCCUUGCUUUAAGCAAUACCGAGCUGCCUUUUUUUCGAAGCGCGUGAGCUUUUUUCUUAUCUCUAGGGACGGUACCAUACUGCAGAAAAGCAACAAUCUCGUUCCUCCAAUCCCAAGAUAAGUUAUUAAAAUUUACC